This is a non-coding RNA of Podospora aff. communis PSN243, 84 nucleotides long. The record is from the annotation of a GenBank genome assembly. Lineage: Eukaryota; Fungi; Ascomycota; Sordariomycetes; Sordariales; Podosporaceae.
GCUUGAGUGGAGUAGUAGUUCAACUCGUCGCCCUUCCAUCCCGGAUGAGAGGCGGAAACCCGGGUGCGAAUCCCGGCUCAAGCA